This 213-nucleotide long non-coding RNA is filed under the name Eucalyptus grandis. RNAcentral describes it as "long non-coding RNA (EGRA_LNC001383)". The record is from RNAcentral. Lineage: Eukaryota; Viridiplantae; Streptophyta; Magnoliopsida; Myrtales; Myrtaceae.
UACAAGUAGAUGUCAAGGAAAUCAAGACCACCAUCUUGUCUUUGACUUGAUACAUGGUGAAAAUCUAGCAUACCCUCCCCAACCUAGAUUUUUACAACCCUGUACACCUUAAACUGGAGACUAGUGAACUCGAAUAGCCAACUUCCUAUCGGCAGUGCAAACGCCCUCACUCCUAAACUUUCUCAAAUCUUUACGUGCUCAUGUUUUGCUCCU